Molecule: microRNA precursor, 61 nt
Filed under: Pristionchus pacificus
Lineage: Eukaryota; Metazoa; Nematoda; Chromadorea; Rhabditida; Neodiplogasteridae
Description: mir-8364 microRNA precursor family
Rfam family: mir-8364 microRNA precursor family
Source: Rfam by way of RNAcentral
UCUUCAUUUCGCGUGCUCUCUCACCGGUCAGAGUGACGAGAGAGUGUGUGAAAUGAAGAGA